AUGCCUCCACACAGCCUUGAACAACCCAACACGACAUCCCGCCAUGGCCUUGCACGACCUGCUGUGACCCAGUUCACAGCCUGCCACGUCCCAUCAUGGCCUCAUGGGUCCCAUCAUGGCCCCAUCACAUCCUCGUGUGUCCUGUCACCGCCCCACUAUGGCUUCAUGCACCCCACCAUGGAUCUGCACAUCCCACCACGGCCUUAUCGUGGCUUUGCAUGUUCUGUUUUUGCUUUGCAUGACCCAUCACGGCCUCGCACAUCUCAUCACGGCCUCACACGUCCCACCACAGCCUCACACGUCCCACCACGGCCUCACACGUCCCACCACGGCCUCCUACAUCCAACCUCAGCCUCCCACGUCCCACCACAUCCCCCCGUAUCCCCCCCACAGCCCACCACACCCCAGCCCCGGCGGGCGCUGACCCUCGUUCUCGUCCUUGAAGAGCUCCUCAGUGCCAAACUUGAGGAUGUCAUCAAGCUCCUGCUUGGACAUGGAGCCGGCCUUGGAGCCCAGCCCCGGGCGCACCACCAGGUGCGUCAGCAUCAUCUUGCGCUUGGCCACCUGCGUGAUGCGUUCCUCCACCGACGCGCGCGUGACGAACCGGUAGAUCAUCACCUUGUUGGCCUGGCCGAUGCGGUGCGCCCGGCUGAAGGCCUGCGGGGACGGGGAGGCAGCAGGGGACGUGUCAGAGCGGGGACACCGAGGUGGAGGACGCGUCGAGCAGCGCCACGGGGGAAGGGGACAGGUUGGGGGACGUCAGAAAGGACAUUGUGGAGAGGGGGGAGGUGAGGGGAGCGUUGGAGCAGGGAUGUGGUGGUGGGGAUAUGGUCUUGGAGGAUGUGGUGGUGGGGACGUGGUGAUGGGGACGUGUUGAGGAACCUGAGUGUGGCCAGAGCCAUGGUGGGACCCGGUGCGGUGUAGCAGCGGCCGGGGAGGGGGCCGUGGUGGCACGAGGUGACAACCGGGGACAGGAAGGUGACAAGGCCAAGGGGACAGGGCAGAGGAGGUGGGGAGGGGGCCGCGGAGGACGUGGGGGGGGGGCACACCUGGAUGUCGUUGUGGGGGUUCCAGUCGGAGUCGAAGAUGACGACGGUGUCGGCGGUCGCCAGGUUGAUGCCGAGGCCCCCGGCCCGCGUCGACAGCAGGAAGCAGAACUGCUGUGCCCCCGGCGCUGCCCCCCCGGCGUCAGCACGGGGGGUGACAGCCCCCUGACAAAGCCCACGGCCCCCCCAUGCCUCCCCCGGCAUCAUCAG
RNAcentral lists this long non-coding RNA (1256 nucleotides) under Anas platyrhynchos platyrhynchos (common mallard). RNAcentral's name for it is "lncRNA (ENSAPLG00000028017.1)". Lineage: Eukaryota; Metazoa; Chordata; Aves; Anseriformes; Anatidae. The record is from RNAcentral.